GUAUGGAGCCAUCAGAAUGAGGCUUAAAGCCGAGAACUUACUCUGGUUGCGGACAAGGAGGAUAAUAAUUCAUCCUUAAUGAUUGCAUCCCGUUUUCAAACAGCUCUUUCAUGUCAUUGGGAUCCAUUCUUAGAGCUUUAGCCAUUAGGUCAAGGAUUUUCAAGGUAAGAUUUUUAAGUUCCGUUAAGUAAACUUCCAAGUCAUCUCCGCAUGCAAAUAAUAAUAUAUAGUCCAGUAAUUAUCAUAAGAUAGAAUAUACUAUAUAAGAAAAGUCUAAAAUUUAAGUAUAGAACCUGAAUGGAAGAGGCAACUUGGGGAACAAGUGGGGUUUCCUCAGAUGGGUUGGGAGAGUGAACAUAGUAAAGCCGUAUCCCCAAUCAAGCUUCUGCUCUUCAGACGUAAUAAAAAGCUGCCCAAAUCCCUCAACAUCUCCUGGCUGCUGCCAAAACUUCUUUUUCUCAUCAAUUGGAAGAUUAAAGAAUUCUUGAAUCUCUGCUUUCACUUUCUCCACCAAUGAACUGCUCACUCCAUGAUUCAUCAACCGCAUAUAUGCAAAUUAAAGCAAGAUGUUCUUUCCAUAUAUACAUGGUUCAUAAAGGAAAUUUUGAAGUUCUGGAAACAAAAUGAUUUUUAUGGAAAAUGCUAAAGAAACGGAGAGCUGAUAAAAUGCUGACAAAAACAACGAUAAAUUAGUCUGUUUAAUGGGUUUACAAUCAAGUGACUAAUCCGGUACUGAUUUACUUUGUUUUUUGUAAACGUUUUGUCUAAUUUUUAUUAUCUGAAUAUCACUGCUAAAUUGUUAUGUACCUGAAAGAAACCCCAGUCUUUACAUGCAUGGUUCAUAUAGGGAACUUAAAGCUCAGGAAGUAAAAUUAUUUUUAUGGAAAAUGUAAAAACACUGAGACCUGAAAAAACGCUAACAAAAGCAAUGAUUUGCAAUCAAUUAAGUAUUUUUAUUAUAUGAAUAUCACUGCUCAAUUAUUAUGUACCUGAAAGAAACCCCACUCUUUACAUGCAUGGUCAAGCUUCUCAAGCUCUGAGUCAUCCCCAGAGAGCAACGUGUGCAUGUCAAUGACUGGAAGUUGUUGUGCUGAAGAAUCGUCGUUGCGAAUCAAGGGAUGGUCUAUCUCAGGGAGAACAUAACGUGGCGGAACAGUUGUCAGUGGCAGAUUAUUUGCCAGCUCCAGAAUCGAAGGCUCCACGAGAGAAUUCCCAAUAACUGUUGCUUUUGCCUCCAUGUUAUAUAGAUUUAGAUUAACUGAUUUCUAGCUAUUACCUUUUUGUUUUCUUCUACUCUUCUGCAGACUUAGCUAGUAUGUGUUUUGACAAGAAACUCAUAUAUAAAUAGUCCUCUAGAUGUACUGUACUGUAACUGGGUGCAGUGAAAUAUUAAUUUUAUCAUGAAAAUUCGAGAGAAUUUUGACUUUUAUUAAAGGACACAAAUCAGUGCAACAUUAACACGAUAAAAUUAAUUUUAUAAUGGAAUUAUUUACACUCUACAUUUAAUUUUGAAUAUCAUUUGAUUUUUUACACUCUAAAUUUAAUUUUGAAUAUCAUUUGAUUUUUUACACUCAGUUAAUAAAUUUUAAAAAUUAAUUUUUAUUCUAUACGUUCUUUUAUAUACCAAAACAGUCUUUUAUUUAUAUAUGAUUAUUAUCUCACCCAAUUUAAUUCUUUAUCAAAGAACUUCAUUCUAAAUAAGUCUAUUAUUGUUAACAAGAUAUUUAAGUCUCUGUUUAACAAAAUAUCACUGUGAUGUCUUUAAAUGAAAUAAUAUAUAUAUAUAUUUUUUUUUAAAAGAGAAUUUUCUCUUAUCUUUACUAGAGAGUUAUAUAUUAGAAUCCAAUUCAUGUUCUUCAUUGAUAAUCUUCAAGCAAUAGUAAUAAGCAACUGAUUUGUUUUUCUUUUUCAUUUUUUUUAAUCGGAACUUACAGUUUUAUUUUUUAUUUUUUAAAACAAAAUAAUGUUACUCGUAAAUUUCUAUUUUUUUUUUUAUUCAGCUUCUAUAGUUGGUAGCUUGUUGGGUAUUUAUGAAACUUCUAAUAUUUUAUGAGGUGUAACUGUAAUUGGAUUACUGGGUUGAGCGUGUGUUAGAUGGUGUUAAGAGUAAUAAUAUUCUAUUAACUUGAAUUGACUUGUUCUUAUUAGUAAAUUAUAUUAGGGUAACUUUUGCAAUAAUAUUUUUAUUAAAAAUUAAAGUGUUGAGAAUAAAAUUUAAAGUAUAGUGUUUAAAUUUCAUUUGUCACUGUCAACGCUCCUCUAACUAAAGCUCAGAUGAGAUCAGAAUGCGAAAGGAUUGUUAUCGACUUCGUUAGUAUUCGUAUCCACUUAGUAUUCGUAUCUUUUGCAAUAACGUUCCACCCAUAAUGUUUUGUUCAUUGAACAAUAACACUAUGGCAGACCAAAAUGGUAUGUACUGUUUGUUUGCACGCAGUACUAUCACUUCAGUCAUAUCUUAAUGUCACUAUAGUGUUUAAAUAUCAUUUGUCUCUGUCAACGCUCCCCUAACUAAAGCUCAGAUAAGAUCAGAAUGCCAAAGGAUUGUUAUCGACUUGGUUAGUAUUCGUAUCCAUCUCUUCUCGCAUUUGCGUGAUUAAUUUUUGAAUUGGUACUAAUACGACUAAAUUGGCAUUUUGAAUGAUGAAACCAGGCUGGCCACACAAAAUUGUGUACCCUAAUUAUUGAAUUGAGCAUACAGUAGUAAAAUAGAUACAGACAGGCAUACAACAAUGACAAAAUGGACAACUAUCGCUAUCAAGUUCACGUCCCCAAUCUUGAAAUUACGAAAUUUUUGGGAUUUUUUUUUUGUUGAUCGGUCCUUGUCGUUGGUAGAAAUUACGAAAUUUAAGGGGCACCCUGACUUUUUAAAAUAAUUUACAUUUGUUUUUGUUUCAUCUUGACUAAGGACUCAUUUAAGAUUUACUAUUGAGACUCUAAAGUCACUUAUAAAAGUUAAAAUUUAAUUUUGAUAAUUUUUUUAAAUCAAAAUUUUAAUUUUGAUAAUUUUUUAACUCAAAAAUUUAAUUUUGAUAAUUUUUUUUUUAAAUCACCACAAAUUUUGAAUUUAAGAAUCAAUUUUAUACUUAACAUAAUUUCGCAUAUAUUGUUACACAUUUUCAUAAAACAAAAUUAUUUUUAAUUAGUUAACAAAUAAAAUUAGAAAAUUUAAGAUCGUUAUUAUUUUGAUUUUCUUUUUUUUUUCUUCGUGCACGCUCUUUACCCCAAUUCUUCUUCUUUCUAUUUUCCAUUCCAUCAAGAAUUCUGUAAUAAUGUAAAUAUUAUUGUUUCAAGAUCAACACUUAGGUUAAUAUGUGUUUUUAAAUAUUUAAUAAAAUUUAAGGUGAAUUAUAUACGCACAUUCCAAUCUAAAACAUGGAUUUAUUAAAGUUCGGAAAAGUUAUCAAGCCAUAUAGCUUAAUAGCUUUUUGGACUUCAAUAAUGUGUGAUAAUUAGUUAUAUGAGAAUCCUAUUACUCUAUUACUUCUUUCCCUCUGCCACUUGUACCAGAAUUUUCUAAUAGAGACUGCUUAUUGCACCUAAAUGACUAACUGGUGCUGACUUAAUAAUAUAUGCCCCGUUUGGAAUUGAGGUUGAAACUCAAUAAGCAACUUAUUUUGUAAUUUGUGACAAAAAUAAUGUUUGGUAAAUUUUGUAAAAGUUGCUUAUUUAAUCAUUUUCUCCAUUUUGACAACAACUUUUAAAAGUAAGUAGAGAGUUACUUUUCAUAAGCAGCUUAUUAAAUAAACUAUCAUACCUUUUUAAAGUUCCUAUUAUAGCCUUAAUAUUUUAAUUAAAAAAAUAAUUGUCUUACUUUCUCAUACACCAUAAUAUUAAACCAUUAGAUAUCACAUUACCACCACAAUCAAAUUACCGACACAACUAUUAUAUAUUCUCUCUAGUAUUAAAGUUUUGACCUAGUAAGUUUGUAUUUUUUUUUAUAUUUUACUUUUAUUUUCUAUUAUAAGAUUAAAAAACGUAUGUAUAUAAUUAUGCAAAUUAUUUUUUUUAACUUUGAACAAUUUCACAUGAAAAUUAACCAUAACUUUUAAAAUUAAUUUUAUAACCAUGGUUUUUAAUAUUCAAUCUCUCUCUCUCUCUCUCUCUCUCUCUCUCUCUCUCUCUCUCUCUCUCUCUCUCUCUAUAUAUAUAUAUAUAUAUAUAUAUAUAUAUAUAUAUAUAUAUUAUAGUUAUGGUGUUUAUUGCAUCAAGUUUAAUACGAAUGUAAUACAUACUACUUUUUUAUUUUAUCUUAGUUAUGUAUUAGUAUGAAUUUUAAUCAUAUUUUUUAUAUAACAAAUUUAUAGAGUUCUUUUUUCACUUUAUGCAAUUUUACUUGUUUUAAAGAGAAAAAGGCAUGUCUAAACAUUAUUAAAUAUACUUAAAAAAGAAGAAGAUAAUUUAAAGUUAUAUCUAUUUUCACAACAAGAAAACAGGUAAUAGAUGACGGGAAAUAACUAUUGUAAAAGGGAGUGCAUGACAGACAGUUCAUCUGUCAUCUAUUUCACUGUCAUUAAUUUAUGACAAAAUAUUUUCCAUCAUGAAUUCAUGAUAGUAUUUUACAGUUAUAUAUACGUCACACAAUAUCUUAAUGUGAAAAAUAAUUAAAUUAAAAUUUGAAUUUAUAUAUAUUUUUGCGCUAUUUUUUUAAAUUUUUGGUGGGAAAUUAAAUUAUCAUUUGUAAAUUUAUUAUUGAAUUUUGGCUCAAAAUGUUUUAUGACAAACAUUAUGAUCAUUAUUUCCCAUCAUAAAGUCAAUUUUUUUUAAAAAAAAUUCUAUUGUGAUUAUAAUUUAUUUGUGAAUUCCUGAUUACAAAUUUAAUUAACUAAUAAAAAUGAAUAUCAUCAAAAAAACUAAAAGUAAUUAAUAUUAAUUAACCUCCAUUCAAUCCAACAAAUUAAUUUCAAAACAAAUACAUCUAGUAUUCAAUGUCGUCACCACCAAUACAUAAUAAAACAUCCCAAAUAUAAAAAAAUCUAAAAUAUAAAACAAUAGUUAAAUCCCAAUUAAACUCUAAGAAAAGCAAUUCAAAUUCUAGCCAUCAAGCCAAGUUACCCAACAAAACUUCGAAAGAUUAAUGGAAAUAUUCUAACAGUAAGACUUCCAAUAGAGAUACCAUCUUCCAGCGGCAAUAGAUAAGAAAUUUUACUACAUAUUAAGUAUUUAACAUACAUUCAAUUUGAAUUUAAAAAAAAAAUCUUUUAUUAAUAGAUAACAACUUUUUUUAUGUAUAAAUAUUAUGCUAAAUUGUAAAAAUUAAUGUUACCAAAAUUAUUUUUCAUAAAUUAUAUAUCAAUUAUUUUUCUUGUAAAUAUUUAUAACAUAUAAAAACUAUUGUACUAGAAAACACUAUGAAUACAUAUCUAUUUAAGCUAGUCAUAAGUGUAAAAAUACAAACAACUUACCACUUACACUCAGAUGCCAAAAAAUAAAAACCAAACAUAUUAUUCUAUCUUAAGCAUUCAAAGCCAUUCAAACUUCAGUAACAUUCAAACCUAUUUCAAAUUUAAAAUAAAAAGACAAACCAUGACUUAAUAUGGGGCUAUUUGAAAUCUAGAUUUUACAGUAUCACUUUAUUCUAUACACUCGUUCUCUCAUUUAAUAAAUUUAAAAAAUUGAUUUUAUUGAGCACAUUCUUUUAAAUACCAAAAUAGUCCUCCAUUUAUAUCUUACGUCUCACCCAAUUUAAUUCUUUGUUGACUAAAGAACUUUUUUCUAUGUAAUUCUAUUAUUGUUAAUGAUAUUCAAAUCUCUUGAAAAAAAAAAAUGACCCUCAUCUCUUUGAAUGAAAUAAACUUCCGUCAAAAGAGAAAUGUCUCUUAAUUUUACCAGAGAGUUAUAGACUGGAGUCAAGUUUGUAUUUCCAAUUGAUAAUUUUGAAGCAGCAGCAAUAUGCAGCUGAUUUCUUAUUAUUUUUCCUUUUUCUUUUUGGGGUUUUGCAACGUACAGUUUUAUUUUUAAUUUUUUAAAUCAAAAUAAUGUUUCUCAUUUUUUCGCAUAAAUAAAAAUUGUUUUUCAAUUGCUGUUGUUGGUAGCAUGUUGGUUAUUUAUUAAACCCUUAAUAUUUUCUUUUACGAAUGAUAAAUUAGAUUUAUUGUUAAAGAAAGUUACAGGGUUUUGUAAUUGGAUUAUUGAAUUGAAUGUGCGUUCAAUGGUGUGAAGAGUAAUCAUAUUCCAUUAACUUAAAUUGAAUUGUCUUUAUUAGUAAAUGAUAUUGGAGGAGUUUUUGUAAUAAUAUUUUUAUUAAAAAUUACAGUCUUUAAAAUAAAAUUUAGGGUACAAACAACAUCACUCUAUAAUAUUAUUAUUCAAUAAAUCAUAAUUUUGCGGCACACUAAAAUGAUGCGGAUCAUUUACGCAACCUACCAUCACUUGUAUUAUAUCCUAAUGCCAUUAUAGUGUUCAAAUAUCAUUUGUCUAUCCCAAACGUUCGUUCAAUUAAAGCUAAGGUAAGCUAAGAUUUCACAGUAGAAUAGUAUUCUUAUCCAUGUAGUGUCACAUUGUGUGCUUUAUCUUUAGAUUGGUACUAAUCCCACAAAACUGGCAUUUUGAAAUAUAAAACCAGGCUGACCACACAAACUUGUGUACACAAUUUUUUGUUUUUUUUUUCAAGUGUUACGUCGUAAAAUCGUAAAUUAAAUAUAGACAAAUAUACAACAAUGACAAUGCCUGUCAAGUUCGCGUGCCCAAUCAUAGAAGUUACGAAACUAUUGGGAUAUUUCAUAGUUGAUCGGUCCGCAUCGUUGGUAGAAAUCACGAAUUUUAGAAGGGGACCGUGACUUUUUAAACUGCAUUAUAAUUUAAGUCCUUUAAAUUUAAAUUCAUUUUCGUUUUAUCCUGGUAAUUGAAUAAGGGCUCAUUUAAGAUUACUAUUUUACUCAAAAGUAAUUUUAAAAUAUUAAAAUUUAAUUUUGUUUGGUAAUUUUCUUAAAAUUAUUGAUAACUUUAAUUUUGAGAACAAAUUUUAUACUUAAAUAAUUUUAAAUAUAUUAUUACAUAAAACAAAAAUUAUCCUUAAUUAAUUAAGAAAUAAAAUAAAAAAAAUUCAAGACCACUAUUAUUUUUAUUCGUUUUUUUUUCUUUAUGCACGAUCUCUACCCCAAUUCUUCUUCUUUUGUUUUUAUAUUCCAUCAAUAAUUCUCCAAUACUGCAAAUAUCAUUGCUGCAAGAUCAACACUUAGGUGGCGUUUGUUUUUUUGUCUGAAAUCUGAAUAGAUCUGAAUUAGUCUGAAUGUCUGAAUAUGAAUAAUAUGUUUGUUUUUUUGUCUGAAUCUCAAAAAAUAAGUAUUAAGUUGUUUGUUUUUUUCAACUUAAAAAGCUGAAAAUAUGUACUUUUACAUUUGUAUCCUUAUUAAAUUUGAAUGUCAAAUAAAUAAUAUAUUAAAUACCACAAUAUUUUAACAUUUAUAAGUAAAACUAUAUUCAAGUGAAUACAUAAUUAUUUUAGAAUUUUAAUAUAUAAAAUACCAUAAAUUUCAAAUUUUAUCGUAUAUAAUAUAAGAAAGAAAAAACAGAGAUAUUUUUAUGUGGGGUAAAUAUCUAUGGGUGAGUUUUGGGAUAGACGUGAAAAAUAAAUUAUAAAACAAGGAUAUUUUUUACAUUAGCAAGUAAUUGACUUAAUUCAAAUUUCUCCAUUAAGUAAAAACCCAAAAAAAUUAGCUUAUUUUAUUAAGUCAAAAUUAUCUAAAAAGUCUCAUUAAGUUAUAAAAACAAACACAUCUAAUUAACUUAAUUAAUUAAGUUAAGUCACUUUAAGUCAUUAAGUUAAAAAACAAACGCCACCUUAGUAUAUGUUUCACGACUUUAUUUUUUAAUUUAUCAAUAUUCAAUAAAAUUUAUUCUCAGGUGCAGACGCCCGCAUUUUUAUUAAUGCGGCCACAAUUUUAAACUGUGUGAUUUAAAAAAAAAAUAGUUUGUGAAUGAACUAUAAAACUGUGAGUUUUAAAAGAUUUAAAAACUAAUUCUUUUAAACCCUGUGGUUUUAAAGUGUAUCCGCAUGGAAAUUUCAUAAGACUUGGUGCUAGACCCAAUUCUCCAUCUAAUUUUAGGUUGUAAAAUGUAGUGAAAGAUAACCUUUCCUUCAUUAAGUUUACAGUCACACGAUGUUCAAUAUCACGAUAAGUUCCAUUGCUAAAAAUCUACAGGAUCAUAAAUUGAACCUAAAAAAAAAAAAAGUUAGAGAGUAUAAUCAAGAGGAGGAAAAAAUUAGAUGAAACUAGUCAUCAACUACAUAUCCUAUGCUAACAGCUUAGUUUUUAUUGCAAGCGACGUGUCACCAAUUAUUUCUUAUUAUAGAUUUGCUGUUAGUAGACUUUAUUUUCUAUUAUUAAUACAAAUUAUACAAAGAUUCUACUCUACUUACCAAUAAAAGACAUGUUAGAUGUCACUUAACAUUACUAGAGAUAGAAACUAUGUAGAGACAUAGCGUUACUUAUAAUAGGCUAUAGAAAAUGACCAGUGUUACCUCUAAAACGUCACCAAUGUUGAAUAUAAAGGCAUCAGGAAGGGGUUUAACAGCAACCCAUUUUCCAUCUUUCUUAAUUUGGAGAUCAUCCAUCUCAUUGAUUUGGAGGAGGAUGGUGAGUACGGAGCCAUCAGAAUGAGGCUUAAAGCCAGGAACUUGCUCUGGUUGCGGACAAGGAGGAUAAUAAUUCAUCCUUAAUGAUUGCAUCCCGUUUUCAGACAACUCUAUCAUGUCAUUGGGAUCCAUUCUUAGAGCUUUAGCCAUUAGGUCAAGGAUUUUCAAGGUAAGAUUUUUAAGUUCCGUUAAGUAAACUUCCAAGUCAUCUCUGCAUGCAAAUAACGAUAUAUAGUCCAGUAAUUAUCAUAUGAUAGAAUAUACUAUGUAGCAAAACUCUACGAUUUAAAUAUAGAACCUGAAUGGGAGAGGCAACUUGGGGAACAAGUGGGGUUUCCUCAGAUGGGUUGGGAGAGUGAACAUAGUAAAGCCGUAUCCCCAAUCAAGCUUCUGCUCCUCAGACGUAAUAAAAAGCUGCCCAAAUCCCUCAAUAUCCCCUGGCUGCUGCCAAAAUUUCUUUUUCUCAUCAAUUGGAAGAUUAAAGAAGUCUUGAAUCCUUCUUUCACUUUCUCCACCAAUGAACUGCUCACUCCAUGAUUCAUCAACUGCAUAUAUGCAGAUUAAAACAAGCUGUUCUUUCCAUACAUGGUUCUUAUAGGAAACUUAAAGCUCAGGAAAUAAAAUGAUUUUUAUGGAAAAUGCUAAAAACACCGAGAGCCGAAAGAACGCUAACAAAAGCAAUGAUUCAAGUAUUUUUAUUAUCUGAAUAUCACUGCUCAAUUAUUAUGUACCUGAAAGAAACCCCAGUCUUUACAUGCAUGCUCAAGCUUCUCAAGCUCUGAGUCAUCCCCAGAGAGCAGCCUGUGCAUGUCAAUGACUGGAAGUUGUCGUGUUGAAGAAUCGUCGUUGCGAAUCAGGGGAUGGUCUAUCUCAGCGCGAACAUAACGUGGAGGAACUGUGAUCAGUGGCUGAUUAUUUGCCAGCUCCAGAAUCGAAGGCUCCACCAGAGAACUCCCAAUAACUGUUGCUUUGGUCCCCAUAUUAUAUAGAUUUAGAUUAACUGAUUUCUAGCUAUUACCUUUUUGUUUCUUUUCUCUGCUGUAGACUCAGCUGGUCUGUGUUUUAACGAGAAAUUCAUGUAUAAAUAAUCCUCAGGAUGUACUGUACUGUAAUUGUGUGCUUUAAAAUAUCAAUUUUAAUAUGAAAAUUCGAGAGAAUUUUGACUUUUAUAAGGACACUGAUUAGUGCAACAUUAAGACGAUAAAGAUAAUCUUAGAAUGAAUUAUUUGCACUCUACAUUUAAUUUUGAAUAUCAUUUGAUUUUUACACUCAUUUAAUAAAUUUUAAAAUUAAUUUUUAUUCUAUACUCUUUUAUGUAUCAAAACAGUCUUUUGUUUAUAUCUUAUUAUAUCUCACCCAAUUUAAUUCUUUAUCACAGAACUUCAUUCUAUAUAAUUCUAUUUUUGUUAAAGUGAUAUUUAAGCCUCUCUUUAACAAAAUAUCACUAUGAUACCUUUAAAUGAAAUAGUAUUUUUUUUAAAAAGAGAAUUUUCUCUUAUCUUUACUAGAGAGUUAUGUGCUAGAAUCCAAUUCAUGCUCUUAAUUGAUAAUCUUCAAGCAAUAGAAUAUGCAACUGAUUUGUUUUUAUUUUUCAUUUUUUCAAUUGGGAACUUACAGUCUUAUUUUUUAUUUUCAAAACCAAACAAUGUUACUCGUAAAUUUUUUUUAUCCAGUUUCUAGAGUUGGUAGCUUGUUGGGUAUUUAUGAAACCUUUAAUAUUUUAUGAGGUGUAACAGUAAUAGGAUUAAUAUUUUCACUUCCUUUCUUCACCCUACAAACAGCAAAGUAUGCAAUGAAUGUUUAAAGUUAACAAUCUGUAAAGUCUGGUCUAAACUUUGCUCUAAUUAAAUAUCAUAAUAAAUUAUAAAGAGAGGUUAGAUUAGAAGAUCUCCAACAGCUAGAUUCAAAGAGAUUCUUCAUUACAUUAUUUUAUAAUCAUUUUUUCGAAAAUGUCAUUCCUGUUAUAACAGAGGUAGAGAAACAAAUUGAGAGGGCCUUUCAAUUCCAUUUUCAAGGCGAAAAAUGCAAUGUUAUGUUUCGUUUCUUUUGUUAAUCUAAUCCACUUUCUAUCAAGCAUUUAUUAUUAUUUUUAUUUUUUUGGCUUUUGUUGAGUGUUUUUGUUCUACGAUGGCAAUUUGGGAGAUUAUAAUUGAGAAACAUUUUUAAUAUUUGAAAGAAACCCACGGCUGCACUGAUAAUGAACCCACAGAGAUUAUCAAAGAGUCCCUUUUCGUUUUUAAAGCAGAUUUUUAAAGUUUUAUACGGUGGAGUGUAUGAGAAGAGGAUAAAAAUUGUCAUAAGAGUAAAGUGAGGAUUAGACGGGAUAAAUUGAGUGAUAAAAAAAUUAUUUAAAAAUUUUUAGUGGGGUGUAUUGAGAAGUGGAGGAUGAUGUGGAGAAAUGAGAGUGAAAUAUCCACUAUAACUAUGCUUCAUGAGUAACGAAAUGUUAUAUUCAUUUAGUUAGGAUUCUUAAUUGGUGUACUAAUUAAUGUGUCACCAAUAUAAAUUUAUCAUUUAGAUAUGAAAUGAUAAGACUGAGUAGUUAAGUUCACUUGAACCAAUCAAAUAAUACAACAUAAUCACUUACACAUCUGUUGGUAUACAUAUUAAAUAUCUCAACGAAGUAAAAUUAUUAUUAUAGCAAAUAGAUCUUAAAUAUUAGAAGAAGCUUAUAAUGAAACUGACUCUGAGCCCACUGUCACCUAACCCGUGCAUCCCAGCUACUCUUACGCCUGUAAAUAUUACAAUACUUGGGUUGGGUUGUGCAAUAAUGAAAUUGAUUUUGAUCAAUCACCAUAAAUAGCUGAUUGUAAAUAUUGUGUAAUUAGUUUGAAGUGUGUCACAACAGAAUUAAUGUAGGUUGAUCUCAAUAAAAAUUUAAUUGUAAAUAUAUGAGUGGUGCUCUAAUUAUGAUGUAUAUAUCAAAUGAUAUAAGUAGAGGUCUGAUUGUAAUACUUUCAACGUGAUAUUUAAUUUGACUUGGUUCAACUAUAGCCUUUUCGCUUUCAAUCGAAAACAAAAUAUAAUAAACCCUAAUGUUGUGUUUACUUGCUGGAGUGGGAGUGAGGAGUGUGGAUUCCUCCCACUCCAGCGUUUACUUACUUAAAAUGGAGAGGGAUUGGGAGUCCAACUCCGUGGGCCCCACCCACUUUUGGAGUGGGGAGUGGGAGUGGGAAUCCACUCCCACCUCUCCAAUUUCUACCUUUUUUUUUUAUUUUAUGUUUUAUAAUUAAUAAAAUAAAAUAAAUAAUAUUAUAUUUAUUUAAAUAAUAAUAUUAUAUUUAACUAAAUAAUAAUUUACAUUGAUUCUAAGUUAAAAUUAUUUUAAAAUAAUAUUAUUAUAUUAAUAGAGAAUUAAUAAAUAUAAUAUUAUUAUUUAUUUUAAAAAUAAUAGUACUAUAUUUAUUUAAUAAUAAUAAUAAAUACUUUAUUCUAAGAAAAUAUUAAUUUUGUACUAAAUAAUAUUAUAUUAUUAUUUUAUAUAAUAAUAAAUUUAAUAUAAUUAUAUUAAAUAAAAUAAAAUAACAUUUCAUUUUAUAUUAAAAUUACAAUUAAUAAUUUAUUGUUCAUAAUUAAGAAUAUUAAUAAUUAUAAUAAAUUUACAAAUAUAAUAAAAUAAAUAUUAUUCAUUAAAUAUAUUUUUUAUUAGUUUUGUAAUUAAAAAUUAUAAUUCUUUAAAUAAGGAUAAAAUUGUAAUUUGAAACUAUUUACUUCCAAUCCAAGACAAAGUAAACACAUAAAUUGAAUUCUGAUCUCCAUUCCAUGCUUCCAUUCUAGUGUAAGUAAACAACCUACUCCCACUCCCACUCCACACUCCCAAUCCUAGGAUUCCCACUCCCUAGGAUUCCCAAUCCAAUCCAAAAAGUAAACGCUACCUAAAAACCGUCGUUGAUUACAAUUACAAAUUUACCCCCAUAACUGACAGUCAUUGAUUGCUUCUUUCCCAAGAAACCUUUGGAUAUAUAUUUUAUAACAAUCGGCUAUCACUUUCUUCUUCCAUGUACAAUAUCUCAGUAGGCUGCACUGAUGUUACGGUUGGGUGCUAUUUUGCACAGGAUUAAGAAAACCCAAUUUAGUCAUGCAAACUUAUUGGGAGCUUCCCGGCUGUCAACAACAACAACACGAGACCAAACAACAAGUGCUUUUUGGGGUUCAACGGAAAAGAUCUCCCCAGUCGGACUGUCGGAAGCCCGGCAGUCUGGGUGUUUGAGGAGCUCGAUGAAAUGGCUAAAAUGGGAGAAGACGUAGGCAAAGAUGACAUUGAGUUCAAUAUGGAUCUGUUGCUAAACAAAGCAUGUUACUUGGAUGCUCUCGAGGUAUUUAUUAAAUCAUCAGAUUUCAUUUUUUUUUUUUUUUCCAUUUGGGUUAUCAAUUGCAUCAGUCUUUACUUCUCUGUGUUUUAAUGAUUUUGCAUUAUGGAAUUGGAAUCAAAUGUUAUUUUAUAUAUUUUCACCUUUUAUAAACAUAACCGAAAUCAGCUGAUAUUAAAUUGGGUGCUUGGUGUAUUUUUCAAAGGAUCCUUCAAACACGACAUCAUUUCACAGCACGCACAGAUGUGUGAUUUUAGUUGUAAUAUUUUAUUGCUUUUGUUUUCUAAGACUUGCUCGUUAUCUUGGGUACCUAUAUUAAUCAAGAAAAUUGACUGGCUGGUAAAAUAGUUUUGAUGUUCUGCCAAAUUUAGCUUCCUUGAAAGCAUAAGAAAUUUGAGCUAUUAUUGAUAAUUGAUUUUUUUUUUUAAUUAUCUUGUUGCAAAACUUGUUUGGUAUUGUUUGUCAGUUUAGCAUGCUUUUGUCGUCGCAUUUUAUUUUUUGCAAUCCUUUUAUUAUAAUCUCUCUUUUCUCCAGAUACCGAUGUGGAACAAAAGAUACUUUGAACUUACAACUGGUGAUAUUGCUGUUCGACUGGUUUUGAUUUUCCAUUAUAAGGGAAUAGAAGAGCAGAAAUUUUUUUCAGUAACAUUCCAGAAAACUUAAGGGCUCUCGAGGUUUAUAUUGCUUUGCUUUAUUGCUAUGCCAAACUAGAUUCUGUGUACAAAUCAGAGUCUGUGAAGAAAGCGGAAGCCAUCAUGCAGACAUUAAGGGAUUUGGGGUUAGACAGGGAAACAAUGGCUUACGAUUGUAUGCUUAAUCUUUACUAUCAGACUGGAAAACUUGAGAAAAUUGAAGUAUGGUGCUGGAAAUUGAAGAAAAGGGUAUUGGUUACAACGAUUAUACAUUCUACAUCCGUCUGAGUGCAUAUGCAGCUGUUUCUGAUUGCAAGGGAAUUAAGAAGAUGGUGACAAUGAUGGAAUCGGAUCCCAAUUUUGUUGUAGACUUGUCAGUUUAUGCUAUUGCAGCAAGUGGGUAUGCAAGAGCUGGGCUUCUGGACAAGACUCAUGCAAUGCUAAAGAAAUGUGAGGGACUGGCAACGGGUGGACAAGACAGAUACCCACCGUAUGAUUUUCUUAUCUCAAAGUAUGCGGAAUUUGGGAAUAAAGACGAUGUUUUAAGAGUUUGGGAAUUCUGCAAAAAGAACUCGAGCGGUUGGAAGGUGGCAGGCUCCGUCAUUCCUUCUGUGCUGAAAUUUGACGACCUGGAAAUUUCUGAGACGAUUUUGGAGGAAGUGAAUUGGCCCAAGGGGAAUCCACAUUAUUGUAUCCAUGUUAUAAAUCCCUUGAUUGCUGCAUAUUGCAGAAAAGGUCUUUUAGGGAAGGCUGAAGCUAUUAUCAACAAUGCACAAUCAAGGGGGCUGAACCCUGAUGUGAGGACGUGGUAUCUUAUGGCAACGGGGUAUCUUCAGAAUGAUCAAACAGAAAAGGCAAUGGAAGCGAUGAAGAAAUCAAUUUGUGAAACUGGAAUCGGGUGGAUUCCAUCUAAGGAAUGUUUGGCCGUGUUUCUGAAAUGGUUUGAAGCUGGAAAAGAUACUGAGGAGGCAGAGCAUUUGGCAAACUUAGAAGGGGACUUUUUUGUUAGUUUGGAUCUUUCUUACGAUUUGUUGAAUUAUUUUCAACAUGGCUACGUAGACAAAAUACCCCUGGAGUUCCUGGUUUCGUCGUGGUAAAUAAUACUCCAAUCUUUUAAAUUGACUUUGGAAUUGGGAAUCUUCCCUACAAGUGUGAUUGAUUUUGUUGCCUCUGCAUACAUUUGAAAAAUCUUAAAUAUUGUGGUUUUUCGCUUCCUAUAAGUUUCGGUUGAGAUUUUUAAAAUGGUUGAACUGCUAAAAACAGCUUAAUAAUUAUUUUACAUAAGUACCACAUUGGCCCUUGGCCAUCAACAAUGCUAUCGACAAAAACGGAUUCAUAACUCUAUGUUUCCACGUCAGCGUGGUUGCAAAAGUAACGUGUAUUUUGUAGUUUGAUUAUGUCCAACUUGGGGAUAACAAAACUCAGCCAUUUGAUCGGUGGCUUUAUAUGAACGGUCAAAAUUUUGAAACCAAAUAUCUUCUUUGUGGUCGAAGGCCAGUCGAACAUCGUACGUUACUGGGAGGACGGUGAGAUAUUUUGCAUCCAACGGUCAGCAAAUACGCUCCUAGACACUUUUACUCUUAUCUGAACGGCAGAAAUUUUGAUAGAAAUAACGAAAUUUAAAGGGGGACCCUGACUUUUUUUUUUUUACGAGAGGACCUGACUUUUUAAAAUAAUUUAAAUUUAUUUUUGUUUCAUCUUGACUGAGGACUCAUUUAAGAUUACUAUUAAGACUUCAAAGUAAUUUAAGAAGUAAAAACUUAAUUUUGGUAAUUUUCUUUUUGAAAUCACUCGUGACAAAAUUUGAUUUUGAGCAUCAAAUAAAAUUUAAAUUUUAAUAUGCAUAAUUAAUUUUGGUAAUUUACUAUAUCGUUACAUAUUUUACAUAAGACCAACAUUAUCCUUAAUUAAUUAACAAAUAAAAUCAGAAAGUUUAAGAUUAUUAUCAUUUUGAUUUUUUUUCAUGCACGCUCUUUAUCCCAAUUCUUUUUCUCUCUAUUUUCCAUUCCAUCAAUAAUUCUCUAAUAGUGCAAAUAUCAUUGUUUCAAGAUAGGGUUAAUAUGUGUUUUUUAAUAUUUAAUAAAAUUUAAGGUGAAUUAUAUAUAUUCCAAUCUAGAAUCCUAGAUUUGUUAAAGUCUGGAAAUACUAUUAAGCCAUAUAGUUUAAUAGUGUAUGAUAUAAUACUAUUAAAGCAUAUAUCUUAAUAACUUUUUGGUACUUUAAUAAAGUAUAGAAUCCUGGACUAUUUGUUGAAGUAAAUUUCACUUAACAUUAUGUCUAUUUUAGUCACUUGUACUCUAACAAUAAUUUAAUAAUAAGAUUUAAUAUGUAUAAUUAAUUUUAAUACUCCCAACACUUUUAGAAAUAAAAUUUACUGAACAUUUAGUUGAUUUUGUUCACAAUUGAUUAGGUCCACUACAAAUCUAAUAGAAAUUAUUUUAAAAGCUACAACAUUACAAAACUAGUCCUAAAUUUCGUUGUUAAAUAUAUUAGUACGACAAGUCCACAAGGGCAUUUUAGUCAAACUCAAAUGAACCAUCUUCUUAUAUUAUCAAUAUGACAUGCGCUAGGAGUUUAAGCAUACCAUUCUUAGUGUUAACUACUCAAAGGGAAAUCUACAUUAAGGUAACUACUAAGUUACAUUAUAUGUAAUUUGUAGUUGACCUAAAAGUAGUGUCCUAUAACCUUAGUUGUGUGACAAGUAACAAUUGAGUCAUAAAAAUUAAAAAAAAAAAAAAAAUUUGGUCGAUAUACGUUACAUAUGAUAUAACUUAGCAAGACCCGUUAUAUAUAUUUACCGUAUAUUUACGCAACGGAAUAUUUUUUUAGGUGAUCGAUGUUUGUUGAUAUACAUUGUCAAUGCGGCUUCAUCUUUGGAUUCUUCUUGGAGAACUAAAGCCUGAGAGAAUCCCUAGCUGAAAAUAACAAGAGAAGAUCCGCAAAUAAGGGAGAGAGUUUUAGCCAAGAUUGCGGACUCAGUUGAUGAUAAUGAUGAUCUUUAUGAGAAAUUAAAAGUUGAGGCUUAAUGGCUUAUUGAUAAUUUGAUAUCUUUUAUAGGUUAAUAUGAUGUUUCUAGCUAUGCAAGCAUUUGUAUGAAGUUGGAUUUUUAUAUUCAUAUACUUUGAUACGAUAUUUAGUUAAUUGGUACUUCUUUAAUAAUGUAAAUUUUACUUUACCUUAUUCAGUUUUCAUAUACUUUAAGAUGAUAUUUAGUUAAGGGAGAUUAUCAAUUUCCCCACUACUGUAAUUAAUAUAUACAAUUUAUUUCCCUGUUGUAUUUAUAAUAACUAGUAACUCCCAUAACAACAUAAGUUUACAAUAUUACGUCUAUUUUAAAAUAUACUUUUAUUUAUAUUUAUUAUAAAUUAAAUAAAUGAUAUGAAUAGAAAAUAAAUAAAAAAAUUAAAUAUUAAAAACAAGAAAUAUAUGCUUUGAUGUGAACAAAAAAAUUAAUAAUAAAAUUUUUUCUUGUACUUUUUUAUUUUGUAAAUAUUUUCUUAUAAUAAAUAUUUUAUAAUAUUUUAAAAUUAAAUAUAAAAAAGUAUCGGAAAAUAUUUUAUUAUUUAUUUUAUAAUAAUAAUUUAUUAAUUAUUCAAGUUUUCUUAUAACAAUUUUUUUUAUCAUUUUAUAAUAAUUUUCUUAUAUAUUUAUUAUAAGAAAAUGUUUAUAAAAUAAAAAAAAAGUAUAAGAAAAAUAUUUUAUUAUUAAUUUUUUUCACAUGAAAACAUAUAUUUCUUAUUUUUUAAACUUAAUUUUUUUAUUUUAAUUUCCAUUCACAUGAUUUAUUUAAUCUAUAAUAAAUAUGAAUAAAAGUGUAUUUAAAAACAAGGGUAAUAUUGUAAACUUAUAUUGUUGAGGGAUUAUUGGCUAUUAUAAAAAUAUGAGGGCGCAAAUCAUAAAUAUUAAUUACAGUAGGGGAGGAAUUGACAAUCUUCCUUUAGUUAAUUAAGGGGUGGGGAUAUUUCCACCCAAUUAUUUGCCUAAACCCCCUUCACUUCUACAAAAUAUUUGCAAUAAAUACACAUUUUUUUUCUAAUAAAUACAAAUCAACAAAAAAAUAUAUAUAAUUAAUCAAUUAAAUCAUUCUUAUAUUUUUUUACUUAGUUUUUUAAAACUAUUAAAGUAAGUAAAAAAAUAUAAUAUAAGUUCCAUUUAAUUAUUUUGCUUUAUGACAUAAAAUGACCCACUUGUCCAAAAAAAUAUGUGUUCUUGUAUCUAAUACUUUAGGUACUUAGUUUUUUGACUUUUAAUCUAACUUCUUGUUAGAGUGCAAUUUAUGCACUAGUUUUGCAUUGUUUACUUCCUUUAAUAUCGAUGUUUUGCACUUAAUAAUAGUGAUUUACUUGUAUUUUAUUUUUGUAGGUGCAAUUAUAUUGAUUGGUGCUAAAAUUGAGCUACAAGAUGAUGUUUGGGGAUGAUUGUUUUCCUGGAGAAAUUAUGAGCUUCAGAAGAACUUUGUUGAUAAGGUGUGGGGGUGUGCUGUCAACUACGGACCUGCAGUUUUUAGUUUAACGUGUUUUGUCUUUUUGGUUAAUUUUGUACUUUUGAAUUUAAUAUUUAGAUAAUAUUUUAGAUGUUAGUAUUUUAUUUUUAGAAAAACUCUAUAAGAGGAAGGAGACGUGAAAAACAAGAGAGGAGGGGACUUUGGAAAGAGGAAGAAGAAAGAAACCCUAGAUCUAAAUUUUUCUCUUCUCUCUAUGAAGAACUAAACCUAUUAUUCUGGUUGAAGGUUAAUGAAGCUUUGAUUCAUCAUUAUUGUGAGAUCUUUCUUAUGCUUUAAUUGUUUUAUUACUUUUUGGGUAUUUGUUUAUUCUCAAAAUUAUUGUCAUGAUUAUGUUUGUUAAUUAGAUAAUAUGCCACUAUUUAAUUAUCAACUUAAUAUAUUGUCAAUUAUAGGAUUCAUCGUAUGAAGAUUUCAAUGUUUGUGACAAAUAACAUAGCAGUGCGUUGUGUUAUGAGAAUAAACAAUCUAAUUUAAAUGAACCAUCGUAUGCGUUUGUUGAUUAGGAUUUGGGUCUCUCUGGUUUUUCAGGCUGUAAAUUGAUUAAAUCCUAUGAUCGUAUCUAGGGUUAUCUAUUGAUUAGGGAAAUAACCAAUGGUCGUACCUUGGUUAUCGACUAGUUAAGGAGAGAUUGGCUAUUAGAGGGUCUCAGUAGCUACAACCGGUCUAUUCAUAAGUAGUAAUGAUUUAUAUUUGAAUCAAUGAUCAGUAGUCGAAUCAAGCUGAGUUAAUUCCUUCAACCAGAGCUUUUCCCAAUUUGAAUUACAAUUUUAAUUUGCAUUCUUGUUAUUUUUAUUUGAUUUUUAUUAUUGUCAACAAUCCCCCCAUUUUGCAAUUUACAUUUUAAAAAGGAUUUAAAUAAUUACCGAUCUCUGUGGACACGACUCUUCUCAAUCCCUAUACACAAUUUAUUUAGAGUAGGUAUUUAUUUUUACUAGCUUCGACAACCAUCACUUCUUAAAUGACGUCUAAUAAUUUUCAAUAUUUUACAUGUAAAUGACAUAAAUUUGACAGGCUAAUAAUUUAAUGAGAAUUUUCUCAUAAGAACAUUAUGUUAGUUUAAUUAAAAAUUAAUAAUCAUAUUAAUAAAGUAAAAUUAACUAUUUAGAAACAAUGAAUUUUGUAUGAAAUUAAGAAAUUGUUGAAGCUAAAUUAAAUUUUUGGUAUUUUUACCCUUUAAGCGUAAAAUAGUCAAUUUAAAUUUAGGUUAAAGCAGUCUUAUUAGUCAAAUAUAAUAAAAAAAUCUAAGUCACAACAAAAUAAAUUUAAAUAGAUUUAAUUAAUUAAUUCUUCUGAAUUCUUUUUUAUUUGAAAUUUUUAAAAAUAAUGAGAAUUUUUUGUAAUUAUUUUUUAAAAGUGGGGUGGAUUUGCAGAAUUUGUGGGGUGGAAAUAUCACCACCCUUAAUUAAAUACUUCUUUAAUAAUAUAAAUUUCACUUUACCUCAUUCAAUUUUGUUCUCCUAAAGAUAGGUUUUUAUUCUCAUAUUUGAAGUAAAAAUUUAAUUUUUCGAGAAACCUCGAUAGAGAGGGCAAUUUUUUCGGAUAUAAAAGAAACAGUUGCAUCAAUUCAGGAGAGCACAUAGUGAGGCUUACCUCUUCAAAACUGAAAUAAUCUCUAACUUGAAAGACCAUCUAACUUCUUUGGAAGGAUGUUUGUACCUUUGAAGGCACCACAUGCCAUCCAGUAAACCUGGAGUACUCAUGAUCAAGAUUUGCUGGAUGAUCCAUAACACCCUUUUGUUAUCUAAAAGUACAACAGAAAAGGAAAUUCAUUGCCUUUAGAAAGAUGGCGACAAUUAAGCCAUCUAUUUCGAAUACCAUUUUAUUAAUGAAGAUAUUAUGAAUAUCUUGAUAAUAGUAUAAAGUUCAAAUCGCUCAAAACGGUUUAAACCGGUAGAGUGGGGCUCGUUAAAGCUAUUUUCCGCAGUCCUUUGCUCUAUAGCAUCUAGAUUUAUUUAUGGCCUAAAUCUUUGAUCAAACAGCUUCAUACCUGGUCUCGGAAAUUCAUUUCUUGUGAUUACAGUUCUCGGAAGAUAGCGUUAGUUCAUUGCGAUCAGUUUUGUUUGUUAAAGGCAGUGGGUGGUCUUGGACUUCGUCGUCUAGAUAUUUUAAAUAGAUCAUGCAUGCCUGUAAAAGAUUUUAUGCAAUGUUAAAAAUCAUUCUUCUAUGUAUGCUGACUAUCUUAAAGCUUGUUACAAACUUAUUAUACACCAAUCGGUUUUUUGUUAAUUCCUCUUAAUAGGCUGGUCUCUUAAAGUGUUAUUGCUGAUGGCUUCUUUAUUCAUUUUUUGGAUUGACAGAUGGUUGUCGGAUCCUCUUCCUCCUAUUAGUUAAAGCUUGUUACAAACUUAUUAUACAGCCAAUCGGUUUUUUGUUAAUUCCUCUUAAUAGGCUGGUCUCUUAAAGUGUUGUUGCUGAUGGCUUCUUUAUUCAUUUUUUGGAUUGACAGAUGGUUGUCGGAUCCUCUUCCUCCUAUUAGUUAUUUUAUUGACCUUGCUUUGUCUUGUACUAAAGUCUCCAGAUUAAUGAUUUAUGGGAGUUUAUUUUUCAAUAUCAGAUUAAUUAGUCCUCAACUUUAUAAUAUUUGGGUCACCACCAGUUAUUACCUGCUUUAUUUGAUUUGGAAAGACAGAAAUAAGCUGAGAUUUGAGAAUGUCUAUCCUUCUGUAGAUCGUUUUACGGCCAAAUGUUCUGCCCGUAUUAUUAUUUUGCUAAACUUUGCCCAGGUUAUGUUGGUUAUGCCAUAUUAUUAUUCUGCCAAACUUUAUCGAGGCUGUUGAAAGUCAAAUAAUCGCUCGCCAAUUUCAAAAAGCAAAAUCGGCGGCAUGUUUUUGUUGACAUAUGCAUGGAGAAAAAUGUGGUGGUUUUUCUAGAUGCCGCUUGAAUUUGUCAAAAUUGUUGAUUUUGGUUGCCGUUUUUCAAAGCUUUUGGGGACAAAGGAAUUAAAUGCAUGCAUGAUCUUUGGCUAUAAAUACCAAGCCAUUUGUUCAUUUGAAGGCAUCCACAUUUUGAGAGCAAUUGCAAGUAAAUCAAUUUGAGAGAUUUGAGAGAUUUGAGAGAGCUAUUACUUAAGUGUUCUAGUGAGGAUCCAAAUGGGUGUAUUGAGGUUUCCGGCUUCGAGAGCUUUUUUCUCAAUUUUGUAAAUUCCCAUUUAUUACUGAAAUUAGCUUUAAUCUUUGCCCGUGAAUGUAGAUUUUAUGCCGAACCACAUAAAUUAUUGUAUUUAAUUUAUUUUUUUGCAUUUUCUUAUUACCAUAUUUAUAUUUCUGCAGAAGUCACAGUCACCAUAAUAUUGAUAAUUGCUCAACCCGCGCUUCCGCAAAAAUUGGUAUUAGAGCCAAAGGUUCAUACUUGGGGUAUACUACACUGUUCACGUAAAUAGUAUUAUUUGUAGAUAUGGUACUAUUCACGCAUACGAUGGAGACGACGAUUUGUACUUGGGAGACAGUCUAUUUAUGAAUAGCUACUGACGGCAUUGGUCAUUUAGGUUAAGAAAGAUGAUAGAGACAUCAUUGUUGUCUUCAUCAGCGAUGACUACUGUGACUAAUGCAAAGUUUGAAGUGGACAAAUUCAAUAGUACUAAUAAUUUUGGUAUGCAGCAAUAUGAGGUGAUGGAUCUCUUAUGUUAGAAAGAGUUGGAGCUUACUCUUAAAGAAAAGACUGAGAAGAUAAAUCACAAGGAGUGGACAAAAAUCAAUAGAUAGUGGACAAAAAUCAAUAGAUAGGUAUGUGGUACUAUUCACUUAUGUCUAGUUAAAGAUCAUAAAUACUUUGUCAUGAGUGAGACAUCAGUAAAGAAAUUGUGGGAAAACAUUGGAAGAAAAAUAUAUAAAGAAAAGCCAUGAAAACAUGCUUUAUAUGAAGAAAAAACUCUCAAAACCAAAAACCUAAUACACCGAAUUGGAUCCUCACUUGAACAUUCAAGUAUAAACUCUCUCAAAUGUCUAAUAUUGCUUCACUUGUAGUUUAUCUCAAAAUGUGGAUGCCUUCAAAUGAACAAAUGUUUGUCAAAAUGGUCUUUAGCGAUAAAUACCAAGCCAUUUGGUCAUUUGAAGGCAUUCACAUUUUGAGAGCAAUUGCAAGUAAAGUAAUUUGAGAGAUUUGAAAGAGUUUCAACCUACGUGUUCUAGUCAAGAUCUAAUUGGGUGUAUUGGGAUUUUGAGUUUUGAGAUUUUUUUUUUCUAAUUUUGUUAAUUCGCAUUUAUUAGCUCAUGAAAUUAUCUUCUAGUCUUUGCUCUUGGACGUAGGCUUUACGUCAAAACAAGUAAAUUAUUGUGUUCAAAUUUUUCUUUUUAUUUGUUUAUUACCACAUUUAUAUUUAUAUAAAAGUUGCAAUCACCGUAAUGUUGAUAAUUGCUAAACCUGCACUUCCCUAACAGAGGUUAUGAUAGUUAUGGGUGGAACAUGAACAAAUUUUUGCUUAGUACAAGAUUAGAUCAUGAGAAAAUCUUAUAUAGGACAUACAUAUCCUCAAGUUCCUUAGCAUCCCAUCUUAUAUAGGACAUAGAUAAGAUCAUGAGAAAAUCUUAUAUAAGAAAAAUGUUAAACAAACUGAACGUUCACAGAAGAAUCACAGAUUUAAUUAACAAAGUAAUCCUGCACAGUUUUAUAGUUAAUUUGGUCAUCAUUUAAUAUCAGUGCUCUGAAGGGAAUUAAGAAAACACUAAGUUAAAGUAGAAAACAAAGGCAGUAGAAAGUGAUGAGUGCUACAUCCAAAACGUCACCAACGAUUAUGAUAAAAGCAUCAGGGAGGAGUUUAACGAGAACCCAAUUUCCAUCUUUCUUUAUUUGGAGGCCAUCCAUCUCAUUGAUUUGGAGGAGGAUGGUGAGUGCAGAGGCAUCAGAAUGAGAAUUCAAGCCAAUAACUUGCUCUGGUUGUUGACAAGGAGGGUCAUAAUUCAUCCUUAUUGAUUGCACACCAUUUCAAACAACUCUUUCAUCUCAUUGGGAUCCAUUCUUAGAGCUUUUUCCAUUUGGUCAAGCAUUUUCAGGGUAAGAUUUUUCACUUCCGUUAAGUAAACUUCCAAGGUAUCUCUAGCAAUGCAGCACUAUUGUAGUAUUGUUAGAUGGACGAAACGUUGCAUCAAUAAUUGGUGUGUUGUGUGGCUAAAAAUGAAAAAAGAAAAAUUGAGAGGCAGAGAAAACCUGAAUGGGAGAGGCAAUUUGGGGAACAGGUGGGGUCUUCUCGAAUGAAUUGGGAGAGUGAAUAUGGUAAAGCCGUAUCCCCAAUCAAGUUUCUGCUCCUCAGAAGCAAUGAAGAGCUGCCCAAAUCCCUCAAUAUCACCAGGUCGAUGCCAGUACUUGUUCUUUUCCUCAAUUGGAAGAUCAAAGAAGUCUUGGGUCUCAGCUUUCAUUUUCUCCACCAGUGAACUGCUCACUCCAUGAUUCACCAGCUACAUGCAAAUUAUUCAAAGCACGAUGUUGUUGUCAUAUAUGUUCCACAGAAAUUAAUUUGAAGUCAGAAAAACAUGAAGAAAUACUCAUUUAAUUCCCAUAAUUUGAGCUAAUCAUCUAGUCAGUCGAUUUCCUUUCAAAACAACAAUAAUAUGUUCACAAAAAAUAGUAUAAAAAUGGUACGUCAUACUAGAAAACCAAAAAAAAAAAAAAAUAACUAUAGGAUGAAAAAAAUUAUUACAAGACAAGAAAUUUUUUUUUAAUCUUUUGUAGUUUUUAUACUAAUUUUUGUAUUAUUUUCGAUACAUAUUUCAUUAUUUUUUCAAAAAGAUUACUUAAAACAUAUUUUUGUAGCGAUUGGAUCCGAUUUUUUAAGGAUAAAAUAAUAUUUACAUAAUUUCAAAUAAUUAAAAUUCAAAUUAAUUCAACAUUUAGGAGGUGAAAAAAAAUGAUAAUUAAAUUGAUAUCAAUGAAUCAACAAAAAUACAAUAGAGGACGUUUUAGAUGAUUUUUUUUUUUUUUUUUUGUGUUGGGGAAAAUACAAGCACUACUUGGAUAAUUUGCUAAAAUUAUGGAAAAUGACAAUAAUUAACAAAGAAGAGUACGUAUACAUGAAAGAAACCCUAUUCUUUGCAUGCAAGGUCAAGCUUCUCAAGCUCUGAAUCAUCUCUAGAGAGCAAUUUCUGCAGGUCGAUGACUGUUAGGAAAUUAGUGGGUGAAGCUGACACGCAGCUAAAAUAAAAUUGGAAGAAACUAAAGAACAAGCACAAUAGAGGACACCAGAAAUUACGUGGUUCGGUUUUUAGCCUAUGUCCACUGGCGAAAACAGAAGGAAAAUAUUUUACUAGUAAAAAAGAGUUACACGUAUUGUGGUAUUUUGUCUCACUACCCAAAACCCGAAUACACCCAAAACUCUCAAAUCACAAAUCACUCAAGAGUUUGUUAAAACUCUUAAAAUACUCUCACUUUCUCUCUAAAGAAGAAGAAAUAAAAUGGAAAAUUUGGAUGCUCUAAGCCGAUGGGGAGCUCCCCCUUUUAUAGCCAAAAUUGGCUAUUAAAAUAAUAAUAUUUUUUUCUUUUCUUCCAUUUUGAUGUGCCAACCACCAUUUGCAGCAUUUUCUUCAUUCUUCUUUCUUCUUUGUCAAAAUUUCCCUUUUUUUUCCUUUCCUUGGGCGGCAUCUACUUGGACUUCAAUUUGGGUGGUCAUUUUGAAAAAUGUUAAUGGUGCCAAACCGCCCAACCAUGACUUUGACAUUCUCCCACUUGGAGAUUAAAUUGAGAAUCAAUCAAUCUCUACACUAUUCUUUCUACUUCGCCAUAAUCAUGUUACCUACGUUUCUGCUAGGCCACAAGAGGAUCUAAUCCAGACAAACUUAUCAGUAUUUAUUGGCUUGGUCAAAACAUCUGCUAGAUUCUCCUUCAUAUGGAUUUUUUGUAAAUCCACACUUCCGUCUUCCACUACUUCUCGAACGAAGUGAUACUGAACUCCUAUGUGUUUUGUCCUGGAAUGAAAGGCUAGAUUCCUUGCAAUGUGCAAGACACUCUGACUAUCACAAAACACAGAAAUUUUCUCUUGUUUGUGCCCGAGUUCCUCCAAUAACCUUUGUAUCCAGAUAGCUUCCUUGCAAGCUUGUGUAGCCGCCAUGUACUCUGCUUCUGUUGUAGAUAAUUCCUUAACUCUUUGCAGUUUUGAAACCCAGCUUACAGCUCCUCCCGUAAGUGUUGUUGUGCAAAUUUUAAUGUACUCGCAAGUGCACGAAUCUAUUGUAGUAUAGAUCAAUGGUGACGAGUGUCGAUCCCACGAGGAGGUGGAUUUUAAUUGUGUAUAGAAUUAAUUUUGUAAAUGGGGGAUUGAAUUUGUGGUGGAAAUGAUUUGGAAUAUGCUAAAACUUAAAUUAAAAUGGCGAGAAUAAAUUCUAAAAUUGGAAUUGAAAUGGCGAGAAUAAAUUGAAGAGAAUUCUAUUGAAAUGGUGUACUUGAGUAUCUGGAUCCGUAUCAACAUGCAUCAUGGGCUAAAUAUUCCUUAUUAAUACCAAUUAAAUCAUGAGGGGGGAAUCCACACCUCAUGAACCACGCUCUAAUCAAUAUGGUGCUAAGGGCUUAUCGUGCCAAAUAAUAAUAACCUUAUACUAGAGAGCCGGUGUAACCAAGGCGGUAUCUAGACAAGAUCAGUAUUAUUUGUCGACGAUAAGUCAAAUCAUCCACAAAAAUUAGAGGGGAAGAGAAAGUAAAUUUACCAAAUCAAGCCCAUGACACAUGUUGAGACUUCACCUUCAACCCAAGUUUGAAAGAAAAUUAGCCACUCAUAAUUGAACUAGGGGCAAAAUGGAAAUUUAUUAAAAUACGAAGAAAAUACAAGAUGGAGAGGGAAUUACAGAAAAUGGAUCCCAAAAAUGGAUUCAAAGAUAUCAAAUUAGGGGGGGGAGGCCCCCUUUUUAUAGAUACAUGGAGUAAAUCAUGGCCAUCGGAUUAAAAACAGUUUGGACGCUCAGGAUUGCGCCACGUCAUCAGUCAACAGUCCACGGUUUGACCACGUGGAUGAACAGUAACACGGUUUGACCCGGAUGAACAGUACGCGGUUUGGUUGAAAAUAAUCCUGUGUGAUGCAUGCACCGUACGCGAGAUUUUUCGUCCACUGAUAUGCUGCCACGUCACCAUCAACAGUACAUAAGAAUUUUAGUCCAACAGGAUCGUGACACCUCAUCAGUCAAUGCCACAUCAUCGGUCCGUCUAUGUGAACAGUGUCGUGAACAGUAACGUAGACAGUACCGUAUACGUGAAUAGUACCGUACAUGUGAAUAGUGCCAUUUUUCCUUUUAUGCUCCUCCUAAGGUUUUCGACCAUCCUGAGUUCAAAAGUGAUGUCCGUUUUGCCGUCUGAUCUCUCCUUUAUUGUGAAAUGACUAUACUGCCCCUAAAAUACAUAAAAUACUUAAUUAAAAUAACACACACGUAAUUACAUCAUAAGAAGGUUAAAUACAUAAAAGUAAGGGUUGUUAGUAAGACUUGAAAUGUAAAAUGACGGUUUUCUCCUUUAUAAAUAUGCAUUUUCUGACACUCAACACACCCUCCAACCAGCUUAUUGCUAGUCCCUAGCAAAUAAAGCGAAAACAAAAUUCAAAUUCAAUUUUUUUUUUUUUUUUUUUUUUUUUAGAAACACUCGUGUUUAUUCAAUCAGAUUAAUGAUAGCAAUCAAAUAAAAGUAUAAGCAUUAUCUCUAGUCUAAAGCAAUAUCACACCCACAUCAACCAUCCACAUGAAUUGGCCCAGUAGACUUUGUUAUAGCUACUUUCAAGAAUGACAUGUCAAACCCCAAAAUCUCACUGGAAGUAGUGACACUCUCAUAAUGAAUGGUAAUUGAGAGAAAAUAAUGAAAAAGUGAUAUCACAUGCUCUCACCAAGAUGAAAUAAAUAUGCCCUCAGCUUAGAAAUAAUACAAUCUCAAGUCAAAUAAAAAAAAUGUUAGUCAACCCAAUUUAUUUAUUUAUUUUUUUUAUAUGCACCACUACAUCUUUUUAGCCCAUAUAACUAGCUUCUACUUCAAACUAUAGUUCCCUAAAAUCAAGAAGGACUUUUAUUAGGACGUAACGUAGGCUAGGGAUAUGACUAACAAAGAAAGGAAAUAAGGAAAACAAAGUGUAUAUUUGAGAAAAAUGCAGAAAUAUUUUUUCUUUUUUUUGAAGUUGCAAGGUGGAUUUCACCUAUUAUUGUUAUUUUAUUAUUUUGAAACAACAACUUUUGUUUUUUUUUUGUUUUGUUUUGUUUUUUUUGUUUUUUUUUGUUUUUUUUGCUUUUAUUUGGCAUAACUUCACUGAACAACAUAAUUAUUUACAUUUUCUCAAACAUAAAUAGGUGAUGGAACUUAUAAGACAUCGGGUAAUACUCCAAAUCAGAGUGGGUCAAGAUGAUAAGUUGACAAAGAAAAUAUAUAUAUUUUUUUUAAAGGCUCAAAAGGGGUAACUAUGGAUAUUUAAUAACGGGGAUGGCUAGAAAGGCUCAAACGGAUCAAAGAUGGCCUUUCCAUCGUUUUUUAGGGCUCUAAAUAAUUAUCCAUAUCUACUAGUUAGAUGGGCCUCCCAAUGUAGCAACGCACAUUUUUUUCUUUUUUUUUUUCUUUUUUUUUUUAAUUUUACCAUUUUUUUUUUAUAGGGUUAACUCAAAAGAAAUCUAGAGAUCGUGUAUAAAAUAAUAAACUGCUAAGCUGUAUAGAAAAUGGGCAAAAGGGUUACUCUCCAAGAAAAUGAUAGGCUCAACAACUCACUUGGCACUUAUUUAUGACAUGUUCGAAUUCAAGCAACUCAUAUUUGUCUCCGACAUCAACAUGUAAAGUAGCAAACAUAGCGUAACAUCACUUAAGACCAAAGAUAAUACAAAUACUAAAAUUUGAAAUUAAUCAUGUUAUCCAAUGUUAAAACAAAAAACACAAUUUUUUUUUUUUUUUACACAACAUUCUACCCCCCAACCUAUUCUAAACAUGAAAGGAAAAUAUGCAUGCAGAAAUGUGAAAAUGAUGUAGAAAAAUUAAUUAGAAAAAUAAAUUUUUUGUUUUUUAACUAAGAAGAUGCGUUUCUAGAGGCACUACACUCCAUAUUCAGCCAUCUUCGACUCAAAAAUUUGAAAAUAUAUAUUUAUAAAGGAGAAAGAGGAAGAAAACGAUUUUGUUUUUGUUUUUUUUUUUUAAACGAUGAAGAUGCGUUUCUAGAGUAACUACACUCCAUAUUCAGCCAUCUUCAACAUAAAACGUUAGCAACAGUUAGUUUCUACAACAAAAAAUCAGUAAAAACUUAACCAAGAUUCCACAAUUGUCGACUAUUCCCUCCCCCAACCAGAACGAAACAUUGUCCUCAAUGUUUUAAAGGAAAGAAGUAGAGUUUAGAAGACAUCACCUGGGUGGUGCAACACAGAAGAAUAUAUUUACAGGCGGAGAGUUAAAUCUAAUUUGUACUUCUUACUGCGGCUACUGUUACCAUCAUUAUUUGGGCGCUCCAACACAAAGGUCCAGGGGUCUGGCUCCGGUUUAUAAGCUUGUAACAGAUCAAGUAGCUCAUUAGCAGUGUGAGCACAAAUAAAAAGUUUUUUUUACAUUAGAAGGAAUGAAAUAGUUUUUUAUUGCAUGGUUAAGAAAUGCGAUAAAGCCAUCAUAAAAGUUAUUGACAUUUAACAAACCGAUAGGUUUCUGGUGGAUGUGCAGAUGGGCCCAAGAUCCUAGUGUCAUAAGUGCCUCUAGUGUUGCAAGAUCUCCUGGAAGGAAAAUAAAAGCAUCAGCAUGAUUAAGCAUUUCAGUUAUUCUUUCUUGCAUACUUGAGACGACUAACUCUUCUCCAGUUGAUGAGUCAGACGAACUGCCCAAUGGUUUUAGGACUCUUGGGAUGAUGCCUAACACUUGACUUCCUCUGAUAAAAGCUGCUUCUGAGACCAUUUUUGAUAACCCUCGGUUACCUCCUCCAUACACCAAAUGUAAUUUUCUCGCUGCUAUGCUUCGACCAAGAUCUAUGGCUGCCUCAACGAACUCUUUAUGUUUGCCAUAUGUAAAUCCAGAAAGCACACAAAUGUUCUUGAAUUGUCUAUUGGGAGUAGCUGCCAUUGUGAUACUUCUCAAAAACAAUUUGUGAGUGCUUGACAAAAGAUAAAUCACAUUUAAGAAUCUUGGUGACAAUGGAUCACUGCUGUGAAUGAGGUAACAUAUCAGUGUCAAAUAACGCGUAAAGCACGUGGCUCGCGAGUCAAAAAGGAAACAGUAAAAAGGACAAAGCAAACAGUAAUAAAAUUAUUAAAGACAAUAAUGCAAACAAUAAAACAACAGUGAAAUGAAAUAAAAUAACAGUAAAGUAAAAGGAUAUUUACACGUAGUUGCGACUGUGGCUCACAUCUUCCUCUGGUUUUACGUCCAGAAACGGCUUGAACGCCCUCUAUGGGUCGAGGAUCGGCUUCCCAUCCAGUUUUCUUAUAAACUGACAAACAUGGUCGUUUAUAGUCAGAUUCCCGAGACUAUAUCGUGCAUGCUCUUUCUGGAAUAAUGGCUCAACACUCAACACAUAUCCACUGGGAUGCGUUUCAAGAGACAAAAGGAUAUCAUCCAAUUUGCACAUUUAACACUCAACACUCAACACAUAUCUUCCCUGUUAUCAGACACCAUUCCUAAAGAACAUGGGUUUCUAUCGCAACUCAUUCUAGCACACUUAUGACAAGCAAUAGAAAUUCUUCGAGCUCGUCGUUUUCUUGCAUAAUUUCCUUUACCACAACCAGGCAUGAAUGCAAUAAAUUUUGGAGGUAACUCACCUGCCGAUCGUACUUUAGCCUCGAUUAACCAACGGAUGUCAGCAGGUAUGUUAUUCUUCAUGAGCAAUCGCAUGCGUUCGGACCGGGCUUUAUAGAUUGUAAGGAGGGCAUUCUGAGGAAGUGAAGGGAAUCGCUUGUGAAGCUUCGCUAGAAUCUCGUUUCUGUCCAUACCUUCGCCUCAGAAUAUCAGUUAUUAUGGGAAACUGAAGUUAACCGACUUGAUUGUCAUGGAGUACCGUUAUCCGCCACUUCACCGGGGUAACAAACUAAAGCACACAAACAGAAAAAUAAAUUAAAACACACAAAGAAAAUUAAAAUUGUCCUUUUAUUGAAUUUACCUCAAGCUCCAACUGGAUGUCGUAAACACUUCUCUCAAUGUCUCUGAGUUGGCGUUCUAAACCCUCAACAUAGGCUACUAACUCUGGUGGUUGUAGAGCCCAAAUACGAUGUGUUUUACAAAAUUGAAUUUGCCAUUUGAGAUGAGUUUUGACACGUUGAAGUGGUUUAAGAAUGUUCAGGAGGAACGGUCUAAGUAAGGUACUCAUGAUUAAAAAUGAUAAGAGAAAACUUAAUAGUUUAAACAAACACACUUAUGCAAAAAUAAUUUCAAUUAGCAAAAGAAUAAUAAAAAGAAAGAAAGAAAAAUUAAAUCAACGAAAAGAAAAAACAAAUCAAUUCAAAUCUGGUGGGUCACUCAAAUUUAUUUCGGUGUCUUCUCCAUGUGGUUGGUAUUCUAGAUAUAGCUUUAAUAUUUGACCAUUAACUUUAAACGUGACACCGUUCUUUGGGUCCUUAAUUUCAAUUGCCCCAUGUGGAAAAACAGUAUGAACAAUAAAGGGACCAGACCAUCGAGAGCGUAACUUACCUGGGAAUAGGUGCAAGCGAGAAUUGAAUAAAAGCACUUUCUGACCUGGAGUGAACGAUUUUCUCAUAAUUUGCUUGUCGUGAAAGACUUUCAUUCGUUGCUUGUAAAUCUUGGCAUUUUCAUAUGCGUCAUUGCGAAUUUCUUCAAGUUCUACCAGUUGUAAUCUUCUCUCUGAGCUGGCUUGCUGCAUGUCAAAGUUGAAUUUCUUGAUGGCCCAAUAUGCACGAUGCUCGAGUUCCACAGGUAGGUGGCAAGCUUUUCCAUACACUAGCCUGUAGGGUGACAUCCCAAUCGGGGUCUUGAAAGCCGUUCUAUAUGCCCAUAAUGCAUCAUCAAGUCUUAAUGACCAAUAUUUUCUGUCUGGCCUCACUGUUUUUUCUAAUAUGUGCUUUAUUUCUCGAUUGGAGAUCUCAACUUGGCCACUAGUUUGCGGAUGAUACGGGGUCGCCACUUUGUGUGUGAUUGAAUAUUUUGUCAAAAGAGCUUUGAAUGCUUUGUUACAAAAGUGGGCACCACCAUCACUGAUUAUCGCUCGAGGGAAUCCAAAGCGUGAAACAAUGUUGCUUUUCAAAAAUCCUAUCACCACAUUGUGAUCAUUGGUUCUACAUGGAAUUGCUUCUACCCAUUUCGAGACGUAGUCAACACCAACCAAUAUGUAUUGAUGGCCAAAAGAAGGGGGAAAGGGUCCCAUGAAGUCGAUACCCCAUACGUAAAAAAUCUCAACCACUAAAAUUGGAUUUAGUGGCAUCAUGUUCCUUCGUGUAAUGCUCCCCAUUCGUUGACACCUAUCACAUGAAGAACAGAAAGUGUAAGCGUCUCGAAAUAUAGUUGGCCAAUAGAAACCACAUUGUAAAACUUUAGUCGCUGUUUUCUUAGCACUGAAAUGGCCUCCACAAGCUUGUUCAUGGCAGAAUGAAAGGAUAUUCUGAAUUUCAUUUUCAGGGACACAUCGUCUAACAAUUUGGUCUGCACAAUACUUGAACAAAUAUGGGUCAUCCCAAAAGAAAUUCUUUAUUUCCGCAAAGAAUUUAGCCUUGUCUUGAUUGGUCCAAUGCUCUGAAAGUUUACUUGUAACAAGAUAAUUAACUAUAUCAGCAUACCAAGGUAAUACUUCCACAUUCAUUAAUUGUUCAUCUAGAAAUGACUCAUUCAAUGGUAAUGGUUCCAUAAUUGUAUCAAAAUGGAGGCGAGAGAGAUGGUCAGCUACAACAUUCUCUGUGCUUUUCUUAUCUUUGAAUUCCAAGUCAAAUUCCUGCAAAAGUAACACCCAACGAAUUAGUCUAGCUUUUGCAUCUUUCUUUGUGAGAAGAUAUUUAAGAGCAGCAUGAUCUGUGAAUAUAAUUAUUUUACAACUAAUGAGAUAAGAUCAAAAUUUCUCUAAUGCAAACACUACUGCUAGCAUUUAUUUUUUAGUAGUUGAAUAGUUCAACUGUGCAUCACUCAAUGUCAUACUAGCAUAGUAAAUAAUAUGGGGAAUUCGAUCAACUCUUUGUCCUAAUACUGCUCCUACUGCAUAAUCAGAUGCAUCACACAUGAGCUCAAAUGGUAAGCUCCAGUUUGGGGCCUGAAUGAUGGGUGAUGAUGUCAACAACUGCUUUAAUUUUUCAAAUGCCACAAGACAUGAAUCAUUAAAGAUAAAAGGUACAUCCUUAGCAAGUAGAUUGCAUAAGGGUCUAGAAACUUUGCUAAAAUCUUUAAUGAAACGUCUAUAGAAACCAGCAUGCCCAAGGAAAGAUCUUACUUCUCUGACUGUUUUGGGUGGAGGAAGAUUAGAAAUGAGAUCCACCUUGGCUUUGUCAACCUCAAUACCUUUGCUUGAAAUGAUGUGACCGAGAACAAUACCUUGUUUUACCAUAAAAUGGCACUUCUCCCAAUUCAAGACUAAGUUCUUCUCGGUACAUCUCUGCAGAACUAGCGUUAGAUGAUGUAAACAUUGAUCAAACGAAUCACCAAAGACAGAAAAGUCAUCCAUAAAGACUUCAAGGAAUCGUUCAACCAUAUCAGAAAAAAUGCUUAACAUACAUCGUUGAAAUGUAGCAGGUGCAUUACAUAAUCCAAAUGGCAUUCUCCUAUAUGCAAAUGUGCCAAAAGGGCAAGUGAAAGUAGUUUUCUCUUGAUCUUUUGGUGCUAUGGGAAUCUGAUUAUAUCCUGAAUAGCCAUCUAGAAAGCAAUAAAAUUCAUGGCCUGCUAAUCUAUCAAGCAUUUGAUCAAUAAAUGGUAAAGGAAAAUGGUCUUUACGUGUGACAGAAUUCAACUUUCUAUAAUCAAUGCAUACACGCCAUCCUGUAGUUACUCUAGUUGGUAUUAAUUCAUUAUCAGCAUUGGUAACUACUGUGACUCCUGACUUUUUGGGGACAACUUGUACAGGACUGACCCAUGAACUAUCAGAAAUUGGGUAAAUGAUACCUGCGUCUAAUAGCUUAAGGACUUCUGUUCUAACAACUUCUUUCAUAUUAUGAUUUAAUCGACGUUGCAUUUCCCUAGUAGAUUUAGCAUUUUCAUCAAGGUGAAUGUAAUGCAUGCAAUCUGCAGGGUUUAUACCUUUUAUGUCCGCUAUGGUCCAUCCUAAUGCUCCUUUGUGCUUUUUUAAAACAUCCAACAACUUACCUUUUUGUUCGUCAUUGAGGGAUGAUGAGAUGAUUACCGGCAGAGAACUUUCUUCCCCCAAAAAUGCAUAUUCCAAAGUGUUGGGCAAUGGUUUGAGCUCGAGUUUCGGUGGUGAUUCUGAUGAUGGGAUGAGUUUCUUCUCUAAUGGUGCUAGUUGUUCAACUCUUGACUUCCAUUUAUUAGUGUCCAUGGAUGGUGCUGAGUCAAGUAGGGCGUUGACCUCAUCAACUGAUCUGUCAAUAUCAAAAUCAAAACCAAAGUGAGUUAAGCAUGCCUGUAAAGGAUCAUCACUAAGGUUUGAAAGAAAAGUAUUAUCAACUAUUGUUUCUAUUAAAUCCACAUCAACAAUUCCAUCAUCUGCACUGUGAGGUUGUUUGGCAAUGUUGAAAAUGUUUAGCUCCAUAGUCAUGUUGCCGAAGGACAACUGCAUAUUUUCGGUCCUGCAUUGAACAUGAGCAUCCACAGUUGCCAAGAAAGGUCGGCCUAGAAUAAUAGGGAUGUGCUUCCUUGAAUCAUGUAUUAGUUGAGUGUCAAUUACAAUGAAAUCAACAGGAAAAUAAAACUUGUCUACCUGGAUAAGCACGUCCUCCACAAUACCACGAGGUAUUUUCGUAGACCGAUCUGCAAGCUGUAACACCACUGGAGUUGGGUGUAAUUCUCCCAGUCCAAGUUUCACGAAUACAGAGUAAGGCAACAGAUUUACACUAGCUCCUAAAUCCAACAAAGCAUUCUCAAUUGUGUGGUUCCCUAUACUACAUGAGAUAGUGGGGGAGCCUGGGUCUUUGCAUUUUAAAGGAAUUUUAUGUUGGAGUAUAGAACUAACGUUUUCUGUUAAAAAUGUCUUCUUUUGAACAUGCAUAUUUCUCUUUUUAGUACAAAGGUCUUUAAGAAACUUGGCAUAAGAUGGAACUUGUUUAAUAGCAUCAAGCAAAGGGAUGUUGACACUUACCUGUUUGAAGAUUUCGAGAAUCUCACCUGUGGAUUUUCCUUUCUUUCCUUUCGCUAACCUCUGAGGAAAUAGAGCUUUGGGAACGUAUUCUCGUGGGUUGGUUUCUUCUUUUUCCUCCGGUGGUGAGUCUUCAACACUCACAGGUACAAUUUGAUUUUCUUUUGUCACCGGCAUCUCCUUUUUGUUGUCGACUUCUUUUCCUUUUCGCAAGGUCAUUACUGCUUUGACCUCUCCAUGCUGCUGUGGUGAACUUGUACUUGCUUCAUGUACUCCUUUAGGGUUAGUCACUGGUUGACUUGGAAAUUUACCUUUCUCAACAGUCAUUGCCAAGGUCUGAACUGAAGAAGCGAGUUGUCCCACCAUCUUCUCAAGGCUUGAAACUGAUUGGGCUUGUGAGUUGAAGCCUGCUCUCAACUCAUUUCGUAGUCCAUCAAUGGUGCGGUUCUGUUGCUCAAUCGUGGAGUGAGUAAGAUUCUUGAGAUUCUGGAAUGAAUCCUCCCAUGGUCUGGGUUGAGAGUAAUUCUGGUUCUGAUUGUAUGGUCUAAAUGGGGGCUGAGAGGCUUGAGGAUUUUAAGGAAUUGGUGGAGCUGGAGCUGCUGGUCCAUUUUGUUGGAAUCCUUGAGACCAUGAAAAAUUGGGGUGGUCUCUCCAUCCAGGGUUAUAUGUGUUGGAGUAAGGGUUGUAAUUCGAUGGUUUUCUCAUUACACCUAUGGCAUUGGCUUGAUCUGAGUAUGAGUCAUGGUCAUGUGGCUCUGUUGAUUUAGCAGUCGAUAACGAUGCUAUUUGUCGAGAGAGACCUUCAACCAUCUCCUUGGCUUCUUUGAUUCCCGAAGUUGACUCGCCAAUGUGAACCUCAUUCACUCCUUUAAUCCUUCUAGUAUUCCUGAGUGAUCGACUCCGUUGUUGGGAAUUGUCCGCUUGUCGCUGGAAAAACUCCCAAAUUUCUGAUGCACUUUUUGACAUUAGCUCUCCUCCACUUGUUGCCAUUAGCCAUUCUUGCACAUUCGGCAAUAAUCCCUCCAAAAAGUAUUGGCAUUGGUGCCAUUUCUCGUACCCAUGAUGUGGACACUUCAAGAGUAGUCCAUUGAAUCGCUCCCAAGUUUCGAAAAACUGCUCGUCCUCUCUUUGUGUAAACUCUGAAAUUUCCCUGCGAAUAGAAUUGGUUUUAUGCACUGGGAAAUAUUUAUUUAGAAAUUUUGUAACCAUUUGUUCCCAUGAUGCAAUGCUAUUAGCAGGCAAAGUAUUUAACCAUGAACGAGCUCUAUCCUUUAAAGAAAAUGGGAAUAAUCUAAGCUUUACAUCAUCAUCUGAAAAAUUCUCAUAUUUAAAAGUUUGACAAAUAGCAUGAAAAUCAUUCAGAUGAUUAUAUGGGUCCUCAUUUUCUAGGCCAUAAAAUGUGGGGAGACAAUUUAGCACACUAGGUUUUAAUUCAAAACUCCUAGCAGCUACAUUUGGGUAUCUUAUACAUGAUGUGCUCAAAUUAGCUAAGGGACUAAAAUAAUCCUUAAAUGGCCUCUCCUGUGGUGCUUGUAAAUCCAUUCCAAAUUUAUUAAUGUGCUUUUGUGUGCGAAGUAUUUUCUCAAGUUCAAGGUCUAUAGGUUCAAGAUUAGGUAAUAAUGACCUACGACCAUGCAUGCAAAACAAAUAAAAUAAAAAUAAAGAUGGGAACAAAACAAAUAAAAAUAAAGAAGAGGGAGAAAUUACGAUACUAACCUUAUUGCGCUAUUACAACCUUACUAUAAAAAUACACAAAAAUAAAUAUGUGAAAUAAAUUAACUAAAAAUUAAAUUAAUAAGAUAAACAAAAAUUACAAAGAAAAAUAAAUUAAAAAUUCAAUUACAGAAUUUUAAAGAAGAGAAAAAGAAAAGAAAUACUAACCUUUAAAUGUAGAUUCACUUUUUUUUUAAUAACAAAAAAAUUACACAAACAAUUAAAAGAAAUUAAUCACAAAAAUUAAUUCUACGAAUUAAAAUAACUUACCUCCCCGGCAACGGCACCAAAAAACUUGUUGUGCAAAUUUUAAUGUACUCGCAAGUGCACGAAUCUAUUGUAGUAUAGAUCAAUGGUGACGAGUGUCGAUCCCACGAGGAGGUGGAUUUUAAUUGUGUAUAGAAUUAAUUUUGUAAAUGGGGGAUUGAAUUUGUGGUGGAAAUGAUUUGGAAUAUGCUAAAACUUAAAUUAAAAUGGCGAGAAUAAAUUCUAAAAUUGGAAUUGAAAUGGCGAGAAUAAAUUGAAGAGAAUUCUAUUGAAAUGGUGUACUUGGGUAUCUGGAUCCGUAUCAACAUGCAUCAUGGGCUAAAUAUUCCUUAUUAAUACCAAUUAAAUCAUGAGGGGGGAAUCCACACCUCAUGAACCACGCUCUAAUCAAUAUGGUGCUAAGGGCUUAUCGUGCCAAAUAAUAAUAACCUUAUACUAGAGAGCCGGUGUAACCAAGGCGGUAUCUAGACAAGAUCAGUAUUAUUUGUCGACGAUAAGUCAAAUCAUCCACAAAAAUUAGAGGGGCAGAGAAAGUAAAUUUACCAAAUCAAGCCCAUGACACAUGUUGAGACUUCACCUUCAACCCAAGCUUGAAAGAAAAUUAGCCACUCAUAAUUGAACUAGGGGCAAAAUGGAAAUUUAUUAAAAUACGAAGAAAAUACAAGAUGGAGAGGGAAUUACAGAAAAUGGAUCCCAAAAAUGGAUUCAGAGAUAUCAAAUUAGGGGGGGAGGCCCCCUUUUUAUAGAUACAUGGAGUAAAUCAUGGCCAUCGGAUUAAAAACAGUUUAGACGCUCAGGAUUGCGCCACGUCAUCAGUCAACAGUCCACGGUUUGACCACGCGGAUGAACAGUAACACGGUUUGACCUGGAUGAACAGUACGCGGUUUGGUUGAAAAUAAUCCUGUCUGAUGCAUGCACCGUACGCGAGAUUUUUCGUCCACUGAUAUGCUGCCACGUCACCAUCAACAGUACAUAAGAAUUUUAGUCCAACAGGAUCGUGACACCUCAUCAGUCAAUGCCACAUCAUCGGUCAAUGCCACGUCAUCGAUCCGUCUAUGUGAACAGUGUCGUGAAUAGUAACGUAGAUAGUACCGUAUACGUGAAUAGUACUGUACACGUGAAUAGUGCCAUUUUUCCUUUUAUGCUCCUCCUAAGGUUUUCGACCAUCCUGAGUUCAAAAGUGAUGUUCGUUUUGCCGUCUGAUCUCUCCUUUAUUGUGAAAUGACUAUACUGCCCCUAAAAUACAUAAAAUACUUAAUUAAAAUAACACACACGUAAUUACAUCACAAGAAAGUUAAAUACAUAAAAGUAAGGGUUGUUAGUAAGACUUGAAAUGUAAAAUGAAGGUUUUCUCCUUUAUAAAUAUGCAUUUUCUAACACUCAACACACUCCCCAACCAGCUUAUUGCUAGUCCCUAGUGGUGAGUAUUCCCGCCUGUCACGCGGGUGACCCGGGUUCGAUCCCCGGCAACGGCGCCAAAAACUUGUUGUGCAAAUUUUAAUGUACUCGCAAGUGCACGAAUCUAUUGUAGUAUAGAUCAAUGGUGACGAGUGUCGAUCCCACGAGGAGGUGGAUUUUAAUUGUGUAUAGAAUUAAUUUUGUAAAUGGGGGAUUGAAUUUGUGGUGGAAAUGAUUUGGAAUAUGCUAAAACUUAAAUUAAAAUAGCGAGAAUAAAUUCUAAAAUUGGAAUUGAAAUGACGAGAAUAAAUUGAAGAGAAUUAUAUUGAAAUGAUGUACUUGGGUAUCUGGAUCCGUAUCAACAUGCAUCAUGGGCUAAAUAUUCCUUAUUAAUACCAAUUAAAUCAUGAGGGGGGAAUCCACACCUCAUGAACCACGCUCUAAUCAAUAUGGUGCUAAGGGCUUAUCGUGCCAAAUAAUAAUAACCUUAUACUAGAGAGCCGGUGUAACCAAGGCGGUAUUUAGACAAGAUCAGUAUUAUUUGUCGACGAUAAGUCAAAUCAUCCACAAAAAUUAGAGGGGCAGAGAAAGUAAAUUUACCAAAUCAAGCCCAUGACACAUGUUGAGACUUCACCUUCAACCCAAGCUUGAAAGAAAAUUAGCCACUCAUAAUUGAACUAGGGGCAAAAUGGAAAUUUAUUAAAAUACGAAGAAAAUACAAGAUGGAGAGGGAAUUACAUAAAAUGGAUCCCAAAAAUGGAUUCAGAGAUAUCAAAUUAGGGGGGGAGGCCCCCUUUUUAUAGAUACAUGGAGUAAAUCAUGGCCAUCGGAUUAAAAACAGUUUAGACGCUCAGGAUUGCGCCACGUCAUCAGUCAACAGUCCACGGUUUGACCACGCGGAUGAACAGUAACACGGUUUGACCUGGAUGAACAGUACGCGGUUUGGUUGAAAAUAAUCCUGUCUGAUGCAUGCACCGUACGCGAGAUUUUUCGUCCACUGAUAUGCUGCCACGUCACCAUCAACAGUACAUAAGAAUUUUAGUCCAACAGGAUCGUGACACCUCAUCAGUCAAUGCCACAUCAUCGGUCAAUGCCACGUCAUCGAUCCGUCUAUGUGAACAGUGUCGUGAAUAGUAACGUAGAUAGUACCGUAUACGUGAAUAGUACUGUACACGUGAAUAGUGCCAUUUUUCCUUUUAUGCUCCUCCUAAGGUUUUCGACCAUCCUGAGUUCAAAAGUGAUGUUCGUUUUGCCGUCUGAUCUCUCCUUUAUUGUGAAAUGACUAUACUGCCCCUAAAAUACAUAAAAUACUUAAUUAAAAUAACACACACGUAAUUACAUCACAAGAAGGUUAAAUACAUAAAAGUAAGGGUUGUUAGUAAGACUUGAAAUGUAAAAUGAAGGUUUUCUCCUUUAUAAAUAUGCAUUUUCUAACACUCAACACACUCCCCAACCAGCUUAUUGCUAGUCCCUAGUGGUGAGUAUUCCCGCCUGUCACGCGGGUGACCCGGGUUCGAUCCCCGGCAACGGCGCCAAAAACUUGUUGUGCAAAUUUUAAUGUACUCGCAAGUGCACGAAUCUAUUGUAGUAUAGAUCAAUGGUGACGAGUGUCGAUCCCACGAGGAGGUGGAUUUUAAUUGUGUAUAGAAUUAAUUUUGUAAAUGGGGGAUUGAAUUUGUGGUGGAAAUGAUUUGGAAUAUGCUAAAACUUAAAUUAAAAUAGCGAGAAUAAAUUCUAAAAUUGGAAUUGAAAUGACGAGAAUAAAUUGAAGAGAAUUAUAUUGAAAUGAUGUACUUGGGUAUCUGGAUCCGUAUCAACAUGCAUCAUGGGCUAAAUAUUCCUUAUUAAUACCAAUUAAAUCAUGAGGGGGGAAUCCACACCUCAUGAACCACGCUCUAAUCAAUAUGGUGCUAAGGGCUUAUCGUGCCAAAUAAUAAUAACCUUAUACUAGAGAGCCGGUGUAACCAAGGCGGUAUCUAGACAAGAUCAGUAUUAUUUGUCGACGAUAAGUCAAAUCAUCCACAAAAAUUAGAGGGGCAGAGAAAGUAAAUUUACCAAAUCAAGCCCAUGACACAUGUUGAGACUUCACCUUCAACCCAAGCUUGAAAGAAAAUUAGCCACUCAUAAUUGAACUAGGGGCAAAAUGGAAAUUUAUUAAAAUACGAAGAAAAUACAAGAUGGAGAGGGAAUUACAGAAAAUGGAUCCCAAAAAUGGAUUCAGAGAUAUCAAAUUAGGGGGGGAGGCCCCCUUUUUAUAGAUACAUGGAGUAAAUCAUGGCCAUCGGAUUAAAAACAGUUUAGACGCUCAGGAUUGCGCCACGUCAUCAGUCAACAGUCCACGGUUUGACCACGCGGAUGAACAGUAACACGGUUUGACCUGGAUGAACAGUACGCGGUUUGGUUGAAAAUAAUCCUGUCUGAUGCAUGCACCGUACGCGAGAUUUUUCGUCCACUGAUAUGCUGCCACGUCACCAUCAACAGUACAUAAGAAUUUUAGUCCAACAGGAUCGUGACACCUCAUCAGUCAAUGCCACAUCAUCGGUCCGUCUAUGUGAACAGUGUCGUGAAUAGUAACGUAGACAGUAUCGUAUACGUGAAUAGUACCGUACAUGUGAAUAGUGCCAUUUUUCCUUUUAUGCUCCUCCUAAGGUUUUCGACCAUCCUGAGUUCAAAAGUAAUGUCCGUUUUGCCGUCUGAUCUCUCCUUUAUUGUGAAAUGACUAUACUGCCCCUAAAAUACAUAAAAUACUUAAUUAAAAUAACACACACGUAAUUAUAUCACAAGAAGGUUAAAUACAUAAAAGUAAGGGUUGUUAGUAAGACUUGAAAUGUAAAAUGACGGUUUUCUCCUUUAUAAAUAUGCAUUUUCUAACACUCAACAAGUGUAAACACAUAGGCAGUAGUAGAUUUUCUUUUAUCAAGGUCUCCUGCAAAAUCUAAAUCCACAUAGCCCCUUACAGUAAACUCUGAUCCUCUUUAAUAUAAUGCAACAUCUGAGGUUCCUCUGAUGUAUCUCAGAAUCCUCUUCAUAACUAUCCAAUGCUCUCCACCAGGAUUCACCAUGUAUCGACUGACUGCUCCACUGCUUGUGCAAUGUCUGGUCUUGUACAAAUCAUAGCGAACAUUAAACUUCCCACUGCUGAUGCAUAUGGUACUCGAGACAUCUCAUUUCUCUCUGCUUCAUUGCUAGGACACAUACUUGAGGAUAAUUUGAAAUUAACAGGAAGUGGGGUAUAAAUUGGCUUACAAUCUUGCAUGUUGAAGCCCCGCAAGAUUUUCUUCAAGUAGUUCUUUUGAGAAAGCCAAAUCUUCCUGUUAUUUCUGUCUCGGUGAAUUUGCAUCCCUAGAAUCUUGUUUGCUGGUCCCAAGUUCUUCAUUUCAAACUCCCUAGCCAACUGUGCCUUCAAUUCUUGGAUUCGAUCUUUGUUGGAGCCUGCUACUAACAUAUCAUCCAUAUACAACAGUAAAAUAAUGAAAUCAUUAUCUUUAAACCUUUUGUAAUAUGCACAAUAGUCUUAACUGAGUCUAUUGUAUCCAAGGCUCACAAUGAAUGAAUCAAAUCUCUUAUACCAACAUCUCGGCGCCUGUUUGAGACCGUAUAGAGAUUUGUUCAACCUGCAAACCAAGUUUUCUUUUCCUGUUUCUGCAAAACCUCCUGGUUGGAGCAUAUAUAUUUCUUCUUCAAGUUCUCCAUGAAGAAAUGCAGUUUUCACAUCUAACUGCUCUAAAUCUAGGUCAAAUGUAGCACACAUUGCCAAGACUAUUCUGACUGUUGUGAGUCGAAUUAUCGGAGAAAAUAUCUCGUUGAAGUCAAUACCUUCUUUCUGAGCAUAUUCUUUCACCACCAAUCUUGUAUGAUAUCGCUCCACUUGGUCAUUGCCAUCACGCUUGAUCUUGUAGACCCAUUUAUUUUCAAUAACUUUUCUUCCACGUGGUAGUGGUAUAAGUUCCCAUGUCUUGUUCUUGUGUAGAGGCUCAAUUUCUUCCUGCAUUACUGUCAUCCAUAAAGCAACAUCUGUGUUGCUUAAAGUUUCAUGGAAAGUUGAUGGCUCUCCAUCCUCUGUUAGAAGACAGUAUGCAACAUUGAUCUAUGUGACAUACUCCGAGUGCCAUACUGGCGGUCGUCUCUCACGAGUUGACCGAUGAAAUUCUAGAGCCUCGGACUCGACUGGUUCUUAUUCCUUGUGCUCUAGUGCUGCUUCAGAAGAAUCUGAAUCUUCUGGAUGAUUUUCCACAUAUACCGGCACAGUCUCUGACUUUUCUUUUACAGUGCUAUCAUCCUCAUCUUUUCUUUGCAGUUGAUCUUCUACAAAGAUAACAUCUCUGCUGAUGACGAUCUUGUAGGCAGUGAGGUCCCACAGACGAUACCCUUUACUCUAUCAGCAUAUCCUAAGAAGAUAUACCUCCUAGAUUUUGGAUCCAGCUUUGCUCUUUCUUGGGCAUUGUACAUCACGUACACAUGACAUCCAAAUGCAUGUAGGUAGGAGUAAUCAGCUGGCUUUUCAGUCUACAUCUCCAUCGCUGUCUUCAGCCCAAUAGUUGUAGAUGGGUAGACCAGCAGUCCUCAACAUAGCUCUUAUUCGUUCUGUAAGAAUCCUAUUCAUCCGCUCUGCCACUCCAUUUUGUUGAGGAGUGUAUGCUACCGUGAACUGCCUCUGAAUACCUUCUUGCCUACAAAAAGCAAGAAACUCGCCGCUGUAUAGUCUCCACCAUUAUCCGUCCUCAAGCACUUGAUCUUUUUUCCGGAUUCAAGUUCCAUCCGCACUUUGUAUUCUUUAAACACUAGAAAUACAUAUGACUUUUUCCUAAUUAGAUACACCCAACAUCUCCUAGAAUAAUUAUCAAUGAAAGUCACCAUGUACUUUGCACCUCUCAUAGUCAUAUCCGGCGAUUCCCAAACAUCAUAAUGAAUCAAGUCUAGAAUGCGUUUACUUCUAGCAAUAGAUCUACUGAACUUUAAUAUAUGAUGCUUACUUGUAACACAAUGCUCGCAAAAUGGUAAACGUACCGAUUUAAGUCCUGGAAGCAAUUUUCGCUCAGAGAAAAUCUUCAAAUCUUGUUAUGACAUGUGGUCAAGUUUGAGAUGCCACAUCAUCGUUGACUCUUCUCCAUUUGAUGCAACACAUGCAUCAGCCUCCUGUAAUGUUUCUCCUUUAAGCAUGAAUAGAUUAACACCGAUUUUUUCUGCCUUCAUCAAUACAAGCGCGCCUUUAACGAUCUUCAUAAUUUUAUUCUCCACAUGAGUUUUGUACCCAUGACUAUCCAUUUGUCUCAAAGACAAUAGAUUUUUCUUC
Molecule: long non-coding RNA, 42779 nt
Filed under: Citrus maxima (pomelo)
Lineage: Eukaryota; Viridiplantae; Streptophyta; Magnoliopsida; Sapindales; Rutaceae
Description: long non-coding RNA (CMAX_LNC001490)
Rfam family: Plant small nucleolar RNA R71 (bases 35163-35266)
Source: RNAcentral